Arachis ipaensis is the source of this 1623-nucleotide non-coding RNA. The record is from RefSeq and is a predicted model, not a curated record. Lineage: Eukaryota; Viridiplantae; Streptophyta; Magnoliopsida; Fabales; Fabaceae.
GGUUAAUGAUCAAAUUGGUUUCUGAAAGAUUGUACGAUUGUUAUUUUUGUUCCCGAAAAUUUUUUUUAAUCAAAUUAGUCCUCGAAAGAUUUGACAUCAAUCACGUUUGUCCUUCCAUUUAUGGGCUCACAGAUUCCGUUAACGACAGUACACGUGGACUGUUAAGUGACACCUAAGUAAGUCCAAAACGAAGCCAUAUUGCAAGAAUUCCUAUUACUGAAGUAACUCUCUCAUUCCCCUUCUCUCUUUCACUUUCACUUACACUUUUCUCCUUUUCACCCAAUACCAACGAAGAGUCACCGAAACAGAGUGAGAAGAAGAAGCUACUCUGAUCAGCCGUGCAAGCAAUAAUCAGCGACAUCGUUCGCAUUGCGAUCGCUCCUCCUCGUCGCGGUCUGAAGGCCACCAGUCUUCUGCGGUGGUAGGCGCCGUCUCCGGUGAGAGAUGAAAAAUCAUCCAAUGACAUUUGUUUUCCAUAAUGGUGGAAAAUUUAAGAAUGACGAAAGUGGAUCAAAAAUUUAUGAACCAGACAAUAUAAAGGUGUUAGCGGGAGUUAAAGGGGAUACGCUAGAUGUUUUCUUUGUAAAGGGAUAUUAUAAGGAGUUAGGAUAUUCAGAGGUGGACGGUUGUUGCUGGAAAGUACCCGGACGGUCGCUUGAAGUUAGGUUGAGGAAGUUAGAAGUAGAUGCUGAUUUGUUGGAAAUGGUGAAGGAUUGUAGAAGGAAUCACAAUUCGAUCAACAUUUAUUUUGUGCAUAGAGUCUCAGAGCCACGCAUGGUGGAGUGUAUGAGUGAGGAUGAUGAUGAGUUAGUUAUAUUAGAGACCUAGAGCACCUGUAACCCAAGGCCACAAAAACUUCCCAGUUGAAUAGGAGAUACUGUUUAAGGCCUAAAUCACAACCACUGUCCCAACUCAAACCACAGCCCAUGUCUAGGCCCAACAAUACACCACCAUAGCUAAAAUCCCAAUCCAAAACACAGCCCAUGUGUCAGCCAAAAUCACAACCCAAAUCACAGCUCAUGUCUCAGCCCAAAUCACAGCAUGAAACACAAUUUGUUCUUCACAACCAGCCCAUGAAAUCCUUAUCUCAACCAUCAAAGUCUUCUACCCAACCUUUGAAAGCUCAGUCCUAACUAUUGAAAACUCACAGCCAACCCUCAAGAUCUCAGCCUUUCAAGAAGUAUGUUGUUAGAGAUAAAAAGAAAGAACCAGUGAAGGGAAGCAAUGUGAUAAAGACUGGUAGAGUUGUUAUCCCAGCUCCACUUCAGGAGGAUAGUAACUCUCAUGAUUCGUACGAGAGUACCGAAGAUAUUCUCUAUAAGCCUCCAAAGAUUUUGGGAGAUGGAUAUGAGAGUUCUAGUGAUAGUGAUAAUGGGGUUGUUGCUGCCAAGAAUUCAGGUUCAAAGAAACAUGGAAACAAGGAGAAGUCUAGGCCUACAUCUCACAGAUCCACUAAUAAGGCAAUUGAUACGGAUGACUCUAGUUAUGAGGAUAUUGAAGAUGAUGAGAUAUCGGAUUCAGGUGACAUGCAAUGAACUUUGUUAUAUUAUUUAUAGUGUUAUGUUACAAAUUUUAUUUAUGAAACUGAUUAGUAAAUACCUUUUGUUAUCAAUUUUUUAGGAU